This 300-nucleotide unclassified non-coding RNA is filed under the name uncultured Pseudogymnoascus. Its description in RNAcentral is "sequence contains 5.8S rRNA gene, ITS2". The stretch from base 1 to 91 matches the Rfam family "5.8S ribosomal RNA", at positions 58 to 154 of the family's 154-position model. Lineage: Eukaryota; Fungi; Ascomycota; Leotiomycetes; Myxotrichaceae. The record is from RNAcentral.
AAGAUGUGUAUAAGGGACAGGUGAGUCAUCGAAUCUUUGAACGCACAUUGCGCCCCCUGGUAUUCCGGGGGGCAUGCCUGUCCGAGCGUCAUUACAACCCUCAAGCUCUGCUUGGUGUUGGGCCCCGCCGCCCCGGCGGGCCCUAAAGUCAGUGGCGGUGCCAUCCGGCUCCGAGCGUAGUAAUUCUUCUCGCUCUGGAGGUCCGGUUGUGUGCUUGCCAUCAACCCCCAAUUUUUUUCAGGUUGACCUCGGAUCAGGUAGGGAUACCCGCUGAACUUAAGCAUAUCAAUAAGCGGAGGA